GAAGAGAGGAUAAGCCUUUGGCUUUUUAGUGUCCAAGGGACAGAACCAUGUGGUAUUUGUCUCAGAUCCUCACUGUAAGCUCAGAGUCUGAUAAAGAGCAGCUGUUGAAUAGGAAUUCAUUGAAUGACAGUAGCCAGGGUGGAUAAAAUUUGGAGAAGUGUUUUUAUAGUUGUUUAAGGUGGGACAAAUUUAAAGAUGUGAUUUAUAGAAGAGGAGUAAAUGGAGAGGAAGAGGUUAAGGACAUUAAGGAUGAAGGGGAAAGGGGAGUGUUUGCUGCCAAGGACCCAUAGGAAAUGGGAGGCAAUGGCAUCUACAAAGCCACUGGAAGGUUGCUUUCUCCCACUUUCUUACUUGCAUCUGAUGCUCUUCCCAUUUCACAGGGAAAACAGAAAUGACUAGAAGAGCCCUUGCUCAGACCCACAUCCCCGAGUCUCUCAAUGGUCAGCACCAGUGCUCACAUUUCUGUGUCCUCCUAUUCCUAAGGAUGAACUGGCUGUCAUCCUAUUAAGGUCACCUCUCCACAGGCACGCGGGUAUCAUUCCCUCUCCCCUUCACAGAGACUUCACUCCAGUACUUCUUGCCUCCUCUUCUGCUUCAUCAGUUUUCCUCUUCAAUGGUAUCAUUGCCAUCAGCAUACACACAUGCUUUUAAUUCUCUUAACGGGGCAAAAAGACAAAAACUAAACCUCUGCCUAAUUCUCACCCAGUUUUCUGUUUCUCCUCACUGCGAAACUCCUGGAGACAUUUUCCUUCACUCUCUCCAAUAAUGUAUUUAUGAAUUUUAUUUGUUUGUUUACCUAGAUUUUUUAAUCAGGAUGCUGAAAUGUGAAAGUCAUCCUAUAUGUUCCAGCUGACAGUUUACAAUGUGACGGAAAGGCAAGGAUAAACAUGAUUACUCUUCUUGAAAAUUCACUUCGUUUAGAAGGAGAGAACCACGAACACCUGCUCUCUGUUUAUCCAGAAUUCUGAAGGGAACUCAGUUUACCAAAGCAGCAUGGUGCACUCGGUCUGUUUGGGCCAGAGGCUCACUCUAAGAGCUAGGACACGUCAAGCUGCGAUGGGAACAGCCUCAGGCAGGGUUGACCAAGCAGAGUGCAGCCUCCCUGGGUCCUCUGCUGGUGUUGAGUUUCCUUGCUCUAUAACCAGACCCAUCAGGAUGGAGAUCACGUGCUGGGCCCCUCUGCCUACAGAGAGAACAGUGUCAGCCAGAGGAUCUCACUGAGUAAAUCACGUGACGCAGAGAGCGGUGGGAGGGCAGUAAACAUGUCUACGGAAAUGGCUGACAAGUACUGAAAGGAAUAUUCCUGCCCGUGUCUAUGUUCUCCCCUGUAUUCAGAGGCUGGAAGUCUGAAAACUGCGUUUCCGGGCUUACCAGCAGGAUAGUAACUGCGAUUCCACCGCUGAGUGGUGCGACUCGGGCCCUGGAAGCAGGAGGAUCCACAGCAGCCUUCUUGUUCUGUCAGUAGCAGGCAGGUAUGUGAGCUCCAACAGCCAAGGACAGGAAGCCGCAGCCUUCGAGGAUGUGCCAGCGAAUCCCUGCGUCGGUCCUGCAGGGGGCUCAGGCCACCGCCAUCUGUUCUUCCACUUCC
This is a long non-coding RNA of Equus caballus (horse), 1588 nucleotides long. Lineage: Eukaryota; Metazoa; Chordata; Mammalia; Perissodactyla; Equidae. The record is from Ensembl.